CAUUUAUGAGCCUAGAUGAGAUCACUGAGAGAUCACUUAAACACCUUGAUAGUCCCAAGGUUUGUAAGGAUUUUGUUUGUGUAGUGAAGACGUGGCUUACUAAAUUAAAGCGGUCACGCUUAUUAGGUGGAAUUUUCAGUGAGACAAACCAAAGUGAAUUAGCAGCUUUCGCCUUAUAUGGGCUCGCCUUUCCUGGAGGCUUUUUGGCCCUUGUUGAUACUUAUGAUGUCAUGAGAAGUGGUGUUCCAAAUUUUUGCGCAGUAGCUCUUGCACUUAAUGAUUUGGGG
Molecule: unclassified non-coding RNA, 287 nt
Filed under: Hevea brasiliensis (rubber tree)
Lineage: Eukaryota; Viridiplantae; Streptophyta; Magnoliopsida; Malpighiales; Euphorbiaceae
Source: RNAcentral